GACGAGAUGGCUGACUGUGGAAAGAGCGACGGCUUGCUAAGCAGUAAAAUGCGGGUUCAACUCCCGUUCUCGUCG
RNAcentral lists this transfer RNA (75 nucleotides) under Halichondria panicea. RNAcentral's name for it is "tRNA-Ser". It matches the Rfam family "tRNA". Rfam says of the family: Transfer RNA (tRNA) molecules are approximately 80 nucleotides in length. Their secondary structure includes four short double-helical elements and three loops (D, anti-codon, and T loops). RNAcentral also lists the same sequence under 9 other names. Lineage: Eukaryota; Metazoa; Porifera; Demospongiae; Suberitida; Halichondriidae. The record is from RNAcentral.